RNAcentral lists this ribosomal RNA (492 nucleotides) under uncultured bacterium. Its description in RNAcentral is "partial 16S ribosomal RNA". It matches the Rfam family "Bacterial small subunit ribosomal RNA", at positions 29 to 507 of the family's 1533-position model. The record is from RNAcentral.
AGUGAACGCUGGCGGUAGGCCUAACACAUGCAAGUCGAACGGCAGCACAGUAAGAGCUUGCUCUUACGGGUGGCGAGUGGCGGACGGGUGAGGAAUACAUCGGAAUCUACUUUUUCGUGGGGGAUAACGUAGGGAAACUUACGCUAAUACCGCAUACGACCUACGGGUGAAAGCAGGGGAUCUUCGGACCUUGCGCGAUUGAAUGAGCCGAUGUCGGAUUAGCUAGUUGGCGGGGUAAAGGCCCACCAAGGCGACGAUCCGUAGCUGGUCUGAGAGGAUGGUCAGCCACACUGGAACUGAGACACGGUCCAGACUCCUACGGGAGGCAGCAGUGGGGAAUAUUGGACAAUGGGCGCAAGCCUGAUCCAGCCAUACCGCGUGGGUGAAGAAGGCCUUCGGGUUGUAAAGCCCUUUUGUUGGGAAAGAAAAGCAGCAGGUUAAUACCCCGCUGUUCCGACGGUACCCAAAGAAUAAGCACCGGCUAACUUCGUG